Molecule: ribosomal RNA, 608 nt
Filed under: uncultured Meliniomyces
Lineage: Eukaryota; Fungi; Ascomycota; Leotiomycetes; Helotiales; Helotiaceae
Description: eukaryotic LSU rRNA
Rfam family: 5.8S ribosomal RNA (bases 245-398)
Source: RNAcentral
CUUGGUCAUUUAGAGGAAGUAAAAGUCGUAACAAGGUUUCCGUAGGUGAACCUGCGGAAGGAUCAUUAAAAAAAGAGAAACGUCCCGUUUUUUUUCAUAAGAAUGGGUUCUAUUCCCUUAAACCGUGUCUACAUACCUUUGUUGCUUUGGCAGGCCGCCUUCGGGCGUCGGCUCCGGCUGAUAGUGCCUGCCAGAGGACCCAAACUCUAUGUUUAGUGAUGUCUGAGUACUAUAUAAUAUUUAAAACUUUCAACAACGGAUCUCUUGGUUCUGGCAUCGAUGAAGAACGCAGCGAAAUGCGAUAAGUAAUGUGAAUUGCAGAAUUCAGUGAAUCAUCGAAUCUUUGAACGCACAUUGCGCCCCUUGGUAUUCCGAGGGGCAUGCCUGUUCGAGCGUCAUUAUAACCACUCAAGCCUGGCUUGGUAUUGGGGUUUUCGCGUGUUCGCGGCCCUUAAAAUCAGUGGCGGUGCCGUCUGGCUCUAAGCGUAGUAAUUUCUCCCGCUAUAGGGUUCCGGUGGUUACUUGCCAAAACCCCCCUAUUUUUUCUAGGUUGACCUCGGAUCAGGUAGGGAUACCCGCUGAACUUAAGCAUAUCAAUAAGCGGAGGA